Molecule: small nucleolar RNA, 167 nt
Organism: Amaranthus tricolor (Joseph's coat)
Lineage: Eukaryota; Viridiplantae; Streptophyta; Magnoliopsida; Caryophyllales; Amaranthaceae
Product: small nucleolar RNA snoR143
Exons: 1
Source: RefSeq, a predicted model, not a curated record
CUGGAUUAAAAUUGAAAGUUCAUAUAUUAAUGGUUGUGAACUUUGUUAGAUGAUGCACAGAGAAACAGCUGUGUUAAUGCAGCAGCGGCCAGACAACCGUGGAGAUGGAUCCACGGAUGAGUUGCUUAAUUAUUAUGCAACUUGUCCACUAAUUCCAUCUUACAUUU